AUGUCGGUGUUCCGCCUUAGUGCCUGGACCGCUAACCCCGACGCCAUUCCUCGAGACUCCGAGCUGCUGUUGCCCGAGCCCGGUGCCCUCGCGCCUGAUGAUGACCCCGAUCGCGUCUCCGCUUUCGCUGUCAGCUUGAUCCGGUUCCCUGUCUUCCGCACUGAGGAUUAUUGGCUUCCUGCUAUCCCGCCGCCUCCCCCUCCGCAUUCUCCGGACGGGGAUGAUGGAUCUGCGCCUGGGUCACCGCCACUUCCCCCCUCCUGGCCCCAGAAGUACGUCUUCCCCAGCCGUGGCAAUGGCGCUGAGAGGUCUGACCACCGUUGUGCCGGUGGCGGGCUCGGUGGGCAACGCCGUAGGCGUGCGCCGCCGCCGUUUCGGGGUUGGCAUGGCGUUCUCGGGUCGCACCCCUUUUCCUGUGGGGGCCCACCUGUCCUUCAUGUGCGUCAGCGCAUCUCACCAGUUCCCGACAGCUCGUCUCUGCCUCUGGAUAAAGCUACUGCUGCGGUACCUGUGGACCGCACCACCGAGGACCAGCCGUUGGUUCCCAGCCAUUUGACUGGGUCACCGGGCGCUGGAACCUCGGGCUUGGCUCUCGUGGACUCUGGUGCCUUCCACACGGACCCGGCCUCGGAUCCUGCAUCUCCUAUUCCUGUCCUGCCCUCCCCUGUUGCCUCUCCAGAGGACAGACGCCCUCCCCCCGAUGACGUCUCGACAGCUGUCCACCUCCCUGCGGAUGGCCCAUCUGGGACAGAUCCCGAGGUGGCCCCGCUCUCACCAGUGGCGCCUUGUGAUUGGGCUCCUCCCCCGAACCCGAACCCAACCAUUGCCUUGGCUGUUUCCCCCGACCCCACCGACCCCACCGGCGCGGCGCCACAGGAGUACCGUGUGGCCCUGGCCCUGGUCGUGCACUCCCCCGCCACUUCAUGCGUGCCAUCUGGUGGCGCGCAGUUGGCCCUGGCUGGCCAGGCCAUGCAGGCGCCCCAUGAUCCUGCACCGUCGCUCCUUGGCUCUUUUGUAGAUGCGUUGCAGGCCCCGGUGGCUCCUCUCCUACCCACCCCGACGACCCGAAGACGACGCAAAGAGGUGCCGCCCAACUUCACCCCUAGACGUAGCGGUCGUAUCGCCCUUGCUGACAGGGGGCUGGACUCGGAGAUGAAGGCCAAGCGCGUCCUUCUUCGGCGGCUCGGUCUACUCCAAGACGAUGAGCCUAUCAAUGAUGUCAUCUUGGCUCGAUACUCGGGCGCUGUUCAAGCAGCCCCUUGCGGAUGA
Molecule: ribosomal RNA, 1269 nt
Filed under: Triticum aestivum (bread wheat)
Lineage: Eukaryota; Viridiplantae; Streptophyta; Magnoliopsida; Poales; Poaceae
Description: partial small subunit ribosomal RNA
Source: RNAcentral